RNAcentral lists this long non-coding RNA (322 nucleotides) under Setaria viridis. RNAcentral's name for it is "long non-coding RNA (SVIR_LNC004294)". Lineage: Eukaryota; Viridiplantae; Streptophyta; Magnoliopsida; Poales; Poaceae. The record is from RNAcentral.
UCUAUUUUACUGUAUGAGCUAAAUCAGUUAUACUAACUAAGCUACAUUUUUCUAUAUCUAAAUACAGCUAAAGGUUUCUAAGUCUAGAUCUAGAUCCACUAUUAUUUCUAAAUCUAGAUCUACUAAUAUUUCUAAAUCUCAGAUCCACUAAUAUUUCGAAAUCUAGAUCUGAGCUAAGCUAAACUAAACUAUACUAUACUAUACUUAACUAAACUACGAGAUUAAAAAGAUUUACCUGAGAAAGAUGGAAGAAAUUACUUCCCUCUUCCCCCUCCUCCUCCUCCUCCUCCUUUCUUUCUUUUUUUUCUUCCCUCCUCCUCCU